RNAcentral lists this transfer RNA (74 nucleotides) under Triticum aestivum (bread wheat). RNAcentral's name for it is "tRNA-Met (CAT) (tRNA-Met-CAT-8-1, tRNA-Met-CAT-9-1)". It matches the Rfam family "tRNA". From Rfam's summary of the family: Transfer RNA (tRNA) molecules are approximately 80 nucleotides in length. Their secondary structure includes four short double-helical elements and three loops (D, anti-codon, and T loops). Further hydrogen bonds mediate the characteristic L-shaped molecular structure. tRNAs have two regions of fundamental functional importance: the anti-codon, which is responsible for specific mRNA codon recognition, and the 3' end, to which the tRNAs corresponding amino acid is attached (by aminoacyl-tRNA synthetases). tRNAs cope with the degeneracy of the genetic code in two manners: having more than one tRNA (with a specific anti-codon) for a particular amino acid; and 'wobble' base-pairing, i.e. permitting non-standard base-pairing at the 3rd anti-codon position. The record is from RNAcentral. Lineage: Eukaryota; Viridiplantae; Streptophyta; Magnoliopsida; Poales; Poaceae.
GGGGCGGUGGCGCAGUUGGCUAGCGCGUAGGUCUCAUAAUCCUGAGGUCGAGAGUUUGAGCCUCUCUCGCCCCA